This 222-nucleotide long non-coding RNA is filed under the name Lathyrus oleraceus (garden pea). Its description in RNAcentral is "Pisum sativum (pea) long non-coding RNA (PSAT_LNC013893)". The record is from RNAcentral. Lineage: Eukaryota; Viridiplantae; Streptophyta; Magnoliopsida; Fabales; Fabaceae.
CAAGAGUGGGCUCAUGCAAAAUUUCAAUCCAUUUAGAGGCCAAGAAGCAUGGUAAUGAAAAAUCAUGAAGUUGGACAUCAAUGGUGUGACACAACUUGUCACACCCUAGUUCAAAAAAUCAUAUCUCACAAACCACAAAUGAUAAAUGCACAAACUCUAUACCAAAAUCACCAUGAAUGUGUCUAGUUUAAGCACAAAAAAUUUGAGAGCCAUUGGAUAAAG